Molecule: ribosomal RNA, 472 nt
Filed under: uncultured bacterium
Lineage: Bacteria
Description: bacterial SSU rRNA
Rfam family: Bacterial small subunit ribosomal RNA
Source: RNAcentral
AACGAACGUUAGCGGCGCGCUUAACACAUGCAAGUCGUGCGAGAAAGGGAGCAAUCCCCGGUAAAGCGGCGCACGGGUGAGUAACACGUAGGUAACGUGCCUCCAGGUGGUGGAUAACCUUCCGAAAGGAGGGCUAAUACAGCAUAAGACCACGGCUUCGAAAGGAGCUGAGGUCAAAGUCGGCCUCUAUUCAUAAGCUGACGCCAGGGGAUCGGCCUGCGGCCCAUCAGGUAGUUGGUAGGGUAAUGGCCUACCAAGCCUAAGACGGGUAGCUGGUCUGAGAGGAUGAUCAGCCACACUGGAACUGAGACACGGUCCAGACUCCUACGGGAGGCAGCAGUGGGGAAUCUUGCGCAAUGGGCGAAAGCCUGACGCAGCGACGCCGCGUGAGUGAUGAAGGCCUUCGGUUGUAAGACGUCUGUGGAGGAGGACGAAUAAGUACGUAGCGAACAGACUCCGACUGAUGACGGUA